GGUGAUUUAACUCAGGGGCACUUGACCACUGAGCUGUGUCCACAACUCCAUUUUAUAUUUUAUUUAGAGAUAGGGUCUCACUGACUUGCUUAGUACCUCACUAAAUUUCUGAGUCUGGCUUUGAACUAGCAAUCCUCCUGUCUCAGCCUCCCAAGCCACUGGGAUUACAGGCGUGUGCCACUGUGCCCAGCUUGGUGGCAUUUUUUAACCUUGUUUUCUCAUGUUUCUUCUAUUUCUGUGUUGAGGUUUGUUCAUCUGCUGGGAUGGAUAUUUCUUCUACUUUUAUUUAAGGGUCUUUUAGUUCUGUGCUUUCUCUUUUAUUUGCCCCGGGAUGUGGGUAUUUCUCAGGGUUAAAGUACCCACUCAAGGGGUUGGGGUUGUAGUUCAGUGGUAGAGCAAUUGCAUAGCAUAUGUGAGGCACUGCGUUUUGAUCCUAACCACCACAUAAAAAUAAAUAAAUAAAAUAAAAUAAAGGCAUUUGUCCAUCUACAGCUAAAAAUAUUUUUUAAAACACCAACUCUUAGCAGGAGAAGGAAGAUGGUGGCGAGGGGAGUGCAUUGCCCCCGUAUGCUGCUUCACUGUGUGGGAGUAUGACAAGUCAGGACGGCUAAAGGAUAUCUUGUUAGGAAUUUCCAGCAAUAGUGGGGUGCUCCGGAACCUGGAGGAAGGAUUUCCAUCGCACGAGGAUUGGCUACGGGGACUCAAACGCGAGAGGUUUGUCGCACAGAGGGUAACACUGCUUAUUCAGCAAAUCGCCCCGCGGCUAGAGUCUGCAGCACGCGCUGGGAAACGUGGAGAUAGUGACGCAGGGAUACAGUGCUGCAGUUUCUGCCAGCCGUGCAAGCACCGUACUCAGGGCUGAAUUCUGGGUUCGAGACGGGGGAAGGAAGCGGUCCAUCUCGGUUCUCCACACUGGUCAGACCACAGAGGAGGCCAGCGNU
RNAcentral lists this long non-coding RNA (941 nucleotides) under Marmota monax (woodchuck). The record is from RNAcentral. Lineage: Eukaryota; Metazoa; Chordata; Mammalia; Rodentia; Sciuridae.